UACGAAGGGGGCUAGCGUUGUUCGGAAUACUGGGCGUAAAGCGCGCGCAGGCGGUCCUUCAAGUCAGAGGUGAAAGCCCAGAGCUCAACUCUGGAAUGGCCUUUGAGACUAGAGGACUUGGGUACGGGAGAGGUGAGUGGAAUUCCGAGUGUAGAGGUGAAAUUCGUAGAUAUUCGGAAGAACACCAGUGGCGAAGGCGGCUCACUGGCCCGUUACCGACGCUCAGGCGCGACAGCGUGGG
Molecule: ribosomal RNA, 241 nt
Filed under: uncultured bacterium
Lineage: Bacteria
Description: partial 16S ribosomal RNA
Rfam family: Bacterial small subunit ribosomal RNA
Source: RNAcentral